GAUCAUGGCUCAGGAUGAACGCUGGCGGCGUGCUUAACACAUGCAAGUCGAACGAAGCACUUUAUUUGAUUUCCUUCGGGACUGAUUAUUUUGUGACUGAGUGGCGGACGGGUGAGUAACGCGUGGGUAACCUGCCUUGUACAGGGGAGUAACAGUUGGAAACGGCUGCUAACACCGCAUAAGCGCACAGCAUCGCAUGAUGCAGUGUGAAAAACUCCGGUGGUAUAAGAUGGACCCG
This 238-nucleotide ribosomal RNA is filed under the name uncultured bacterium. Its description in RNAcentral is "partial 16S ribosomal RNA". It matches the Rfam family "Bacterial small subunit ribosomal RNA", at positions 15 to 233 of the family's 1533-position model. The record is from RNAcentral.